RNAcentral lists this ribosomal RNA (2899 nucleotides) under Streptococcus pneumoniae GA41565. Its description in RNAcentral is "bacterial LSU rRNA". It matches the Rfam family "Bacterial large subunit ribosomal RNA". Lineage: Bacteria; Bacillati; Bacillota; Bacilli; Lactobacillales; Streptococcaceae. The record is from RNAcentral.
UUAAGUUAAUAAGGGCGCACGGUGGAUGCCUUGGCACUAGGAGCCGACGAAGGACGUGACAAACGACGAUAUGCCUUGGGUAGCUGUAAGUAAGCGAUGAUCCAGGGAUUUCCGAAUGGGGGAACCCAACAGGUAAUACCUGUUACCUACAUCUGUUAAGGAUGUGAGGAGGAAGACGCAGUGAACUGAAACAUCUAAGUAGCUGCAGGAAGAGAAAGCAAAAGCGAUUGCCUUAGUAGCGGCGAGCGAAACGGCAGAAGGGCAAACCGAAGAGUUUACUCUUCGGGGUUGUAGGACUGCAAUGUGGACUCAAAGAUUAUAGAAGAAUGAUUUGGGAAGAUCAGCCAAAGAGAGUAAUAGCCUCGUAUUUAAAAUAGUCUUUGUACUUAGCAGUAUCCUGAGUACGGCGGGACACGUGAAAUCCCGUCGGAAUCUGGGAGGACCAUCUCCCAACCCUAAAUACUCCCUAGUGACCGAUAGUGAACCAGUACCGUGAGGGAAAGGUGAAAAGCACCCCGGGAGGGGAGUGAAAUAGAACCUGAAACCGUGUGCCUACAACAAGUUCGAGCCCGUUAAUGGGUGAGAGCGUGCCUUUUGUAGAAUGAACCGGCGAGUUACGUUAUGAUGCGAGGUUAAGUUGAAGAGACGGAGCCGUAGGGAAACCGAGUCUGAAUAGGGCGCCUUAGUAUCAUGACGUAGACCCGAAACCAUGUGACCUACCCAUGAGCAGGUUGAAGGUGCGGUAAGACGCACUGGAGGACCGAACCAGGGCACGUUGAAAAGUGCUUGGAUGACUUGUGGGUAGCGGAGAAAUUCCAAACGAACUUGGAGAUAGCUGGUUCUCUCCGAAAUAGCUUUAGGGCUAGCGUCGACAUUAGAGAUUCUUGGAGGUAGAGCACUGUUUGGGUGAGGGGUCCAUCCCGGAUUACCAAUCUCAGAUAAACUCCGAAUGCCAAUGAAUUAUGGUCGGCAGUCAGACUGCGAGUGCUAAGAUCCGUAGUCGAAAGGGAAACAGCCCAGACCACCAGCUAAGGUCCCAAAAUAAUUGUUAAGUGGAAAAGGAUGUGGGGUUGCACAGACAACUAGGAUGUUAGCUUAGAAGCAGCUAUUCAUUCAAAGAGUGCGUAAUAGCUCACUAGUCGAGUGACCCUGCGCCGAAAAUGUACCGGGGCUAAAACAAUUUACCGAAGCUGUGGAUACCUUUAUAGGUAUGGUAGGAGAGCGUUCUAUGUGUGAUGAAGGUAUACCGUGAGGAGUGCUGGAACGCAUAGAAGUGAGAAUGCCGGUAUGAGUAGCGAAAGACAGGUGAGAAUCCUGUCCACCGUAAGACUAAGGUUUCCAGGGGAAGGCUCGUCCGCCCUGGGUUAGUCGGGACCUAAGGAGAGACCGAAAGGUGUAUCCGAUGGACAACAGGUUGAUAUUCCUGUACUAGAGUAUGUAGUGAUGGAGGGACGCAGUAGGCUAACUAAAGCAGACGAUUGGAAGAGUCUGUCUAAGCAGUGAGGUGUGAAUUGAGUCAAAUGCUUAAUUCUAUAACAUUGAGCUGUGAUGGGGAGCGAAGUUUAGUAGCGAAGUUAGUGACGUCACACUGCCAAGAAAAGCUUCUAGCGUUUAAACAUACUCUACCCGUACCGCAAACCGACACAGGUAGUCGAGGCGAGUAGCCUCAGGUGAGCGAGAGAACUCUCGUUAAGGAACUCGGCAAAAUGACCCCGUAACUUCGGGAGAAGGGGUGCUGACUUUAAGUCAGCCGCAGUGAAUAGGCCCAAGCAACUGUUUAUCAAAAACACAGCUCUCUGCUAAAUCGUAAGAUGAUGUAUAGGGGGUGACGCCUGCCCGGUGCUGGAAGGUUAAGAGGAGUGCUUAGCGUAAGCGAAGGUAUGAAUUGAAGCCCCAGUAAACGGCGGCCGUAACUAUAACGGUCCUAAGGUAGCGAAAUUCCUUGUCGGGUAAGUUCCGACCCGCACGAAAGGCGUAAUGAUUUGGGCACUGUCUCAACGAGAGACUCGGUGAAAUUUUAGUACCUGUGAAGAUGCAGGUUACCCGCGACAGGACGGAAAGACCCCAUGGAGCUUUACUGCAGUUUGAUAUUGAGUGUCUGUACCACAUGUACAGGAUAGGUAGGAGUCUAAGAGAUCGGGACGCCAGUUUCGAAGGAGACGCUGUUGGGAUACUACCCUUGUGUUAUGGCCACUCUAACCCAGAUAGGUGAUCCCUAUCGGAGACAGUGUCUGACGGGCAGUUUGACUGGGGCGGUCGCCUCCUAAAAGGUAACGGAGGCGCCCAAAGGUUCCCUCAGAAUGGUUGGAAAUCAUUCGCAGAGUGUAAAGGUAUAAGGGAGCUUGACUGCGAGAGCUACAACUCGAGCAGGGACGAAAGUCGGGCUUAGUGAUCCGGUGGUUCCGUAUGGAAGGGCCAUCGCUCAACGGAUAAAAGCUACCCUGGGGAUAACAGGCUUAUCUCCCCCAAGAGUUCACAUCGACGGGGAGGUUUGGCACCUCGAUGUCGGCUCGUCGCAUCCUGGGGCUGUAGUCGGUCCCAAGGGUUGGGCUGUUCGCCCAUUAAAGCGGCACGCGAGCUGGGUUCAGAACGUCGUGAGACAGUUCGGUCCCUAUCCGUCGCGGGCGUAGGAAAUUUGAGAGGAUCUGCUCCUAGUACGAGAGGACCAGAGUGGACUUACCGCUGGUGUACCAGUUGUCUUGCCAAAGGCAUCGCUGGGUAGCUAUGUAGGGAAGGGAUAAACGCUGAAAGCAUCUAAGUGUGAACCCACCUCAAGAUGAGAUUUCCCAUGAUUAUAUAUCAGUAAGAGCCCUGAGAGAUGAUCAGGUAGAUAGGUUAGAAGUGGAAGUGUGGCGACACAUGUAGCGGACUAAUACUAAUAGCUCGAGGACUUAUCCAA